Molecule: ribosomal RNA, 724 nt
Filed under: Kodamaea sp. 3 NF-2016
Lineage: Eukaryota; Fungi; Ascomycota; Pichiomycetes; Serinales; Debaryomycetaceae
Description: eukaryotic LSU rRNA
Rfam family: Eukaryotic large subunit ribosomal RNA (bases 206-724)
Source: RNAcentral
UCUUGGUUCUCGCAUCGAUGAAGAACGCAGCGAAAUGCGAUACGUAAUACGAAUUGCAGCUCUCGGAAUCAUCGAAUCUUUGAACGCACAUUGCGCCAUGGGGUAUUCCCCAUGGCAUGCCUGUUUGAGCGGUGGCCCCUUUCGUCUCCAGACGGUCUUGUCACUAAAGAAAUCCAAGAAUAAUCAAACACUAUUCUUUCCUUUUCUCCCUCAAAUCAGGUAGGACUACCCGCUGAACUUAAGCAUAUCAAUAAGCGGAGGAAAAGAAACCAACAGGGAUUGCCUCAGUAACGGCGAGUGAAGCGGCAAAAGCUCAAAUUUGAAACCGCUCGCGGGUUGUAAUUUGAAGAUUGUGUUUUGGCGGUGCCCACACCUAUGUUCCUUGGAACAGGACGUCACAGAGGGUGAGAAUCCCGUGCGGCGUGGUCCCCACCGCCCUAUAAAACACUCUCGACGAGUCGAGUUGUUUGGGAAUGCAGCUCCAAGUGGGUGGUAAAUUCCAUCUAAAGCUAAAUACUGGCGAGAGACCGAUAGCGAACAAGUACCGUGAGGGAAAGAUGAAAAGCACUUUGAAAAGAGAGUGAAACAGUACGUGAAAUUGUUGAAAGGGAAGGGCAUGCCGUCAGAUGGCCAGUAUCGGUUGGGAGGGAAAGACAAAACGUCAGGAAUGUGGCCCUCGGGUGUUAUAGCCUCCGCAAUAUUUCUCCCCCGACCGAGGACUGCU